UACGUAGGGUGCGAGCGUCGUCCGGAAUUAUUGGGCGUAAAGAGCUCGUAGGCGGUCUGUCGCGUCGGAUGUGAAAGCCCGGGGCUCAACCCCGGGUCUGCAUUCGAUACGGGCAGACUGGAGUGUGGCAGGGGAGAUCGGAAUUCCUGGUGUAGCGGUGAAAUGCGCAGAUAUCAGGAGGAACACCGGUGGCGAAGGCGGAUCUCUGGGCCAUGACUGACGCUGAGGAGCGAAAGCGUGGGGAGCAAACAGG
Molecule: ribosomal RNA, 253 nt
Filed under: uncultured bacterium
Lineage: Bacteria
Description: partial 16S ribosomal RNA
Rfam family: Bacterial small subunit ribosomal RNA
Source: RNAcentral